UAGUUGAGCGCUUCAGCCAAAAAGAGGCGCAGCGUACAGCUCAGUAGCACGUGGCUAAUCUGCCCUUAGGAUAGGAACAACCCCGGGAAACUGGGGCUAAUUCCCAAUAGGCGAAGAACUCUGGAAUGAGUCUUCACCAGAAAAGAGCCUACGUUAUGCGCGUGGGUCUCGCCUAAGGAUGAGGCCGCGGCCGAUCAGGUUGUUGGUGAGGUAAUGGCUCACCAAGCCUUUUACCGGUGCGGGCCGUGAGAGCGGGAGCCCGGAGAUGGGUACUGAGACAAGGACCCAGGCCCUACGGGGCGCAGCAGUCGCGAAACCUUUGCAAUACACGCAAGUGUGACAGGGCUAUCCCGAGUGCCAUCCGCUGAGGAAGGCUUUUACCCAGUCUAGAAAGCUGGGGGAAUAAGGAGAGGGCAAGUCUGGUGUCAGCCGCCGCGGUAAUACCAGCUCUCCGAGUGGUGUGGAUGUUUAUUGGGCCUAAAGCAUCCGUAGCUGGCUAAGUUAGUCCCCUGUUAAAUCCACCGAAUUAAUCGUUGGAUUGCGGGGGAUACUGCUUGGCCAGGGGGCGGGAGAGGCAGACGGUAUUUCCGGGGUAGGGGUGAAAUCCUAUAAUCCCGGGAAGACCACCAGUGGCGAAGGCUGUCUGCUAGAACGCGCCCGACGGUGAGGGAUGAAAGCUGGGGGAGCGAACCGGAUUAGAUACCCGGGUAGUCCCAGCUGUAAACUAUGCAGGCUAGGUGUUUGGGCGGCCACGUGCCGCUCUAGUGCCGCAGGGAAGCUGUUAAGCCUGCCGCCUGGGGAGUACGGCCGCAAGGCUGAAACUAAAGGAAUGCGGG
RNAcentral lists this ribosomal RNA (836 nucleotides) under uncultured archaeon. RNAcentral's name for it is "bacterial SSU rRNA". It matches the Rfam family "Archaeal small subunit ribosomal RNA", at positions 55 to 872 of the family's 1478-position model. The record is from RNAcentral.